Molecule: transfer RNA, 63 nt
Filed under: Parachtes romandiolae
Lineage: Eukaryota; Metazoa; Arthropoda; Arachnida; Araneae; Dysderidae
Description: tRNA-Leu
Source: RNAcentral
UUCUUUAUAGCAAAAAAGUGCAUAAAAUUUAGAAUUUUAAUAUACUAACAUUACAGAAAUAAU